Long non-coding RNA from Mustela erminea (ermine), 1010 nucleotides. RefSeq lists it as uncharacterized. The transcript has 5 exons. The record is from RefSeq and is a predicted model, not a curated record. Lineage: Eukaryota; Metazoa; Chordata; Mammalia; Carnivora; Mustelidae.
GCAUCCUUCCACCCCCAGGCAGCACUGUGAAGACAUCUCCCCUAAGCCUGUGGUUCCUCCAGCUGGAGAAGAAAACCCAGGGGAUAAAACUAGCAACCCCCACCCCUACUCAUUGUAGGUUUCUUUUUGGGAGCACCAACUCUGAUCUUACACCACGAAAACUGUAGGGGAAUCUGUAUGGCUCAGUCACUAGGAAUGUGUAAUGAAGAACCAGUAGGGGCUUGCACCCACCAGAACAUGGAUUGCUGCCAACCAAAUUCACAGCUGCAGAAGCCAUGUAAUAAUCCUGACUAGCAGUUUUGCUCAUCUGUGGAACAAAGUUGGGGGAGCAUUCUGACCAGGGAGCACAGGAACCCUCAAUUUCCUCUUGCUUUGGACCCACAAAUUAUGUAGAUGACUGUCAGAAGAAUAUGAUGUCCUGGAAGCCAAGUUAAGAAAGUGCUUCCAGAGGGAGGGAGUAAUCUGUCAAUUGUGUUUGAUGUUGCUGAGAACUGAAUAAGCAGCAACUGGCUAGAACUUCAACCCUGUUUCAUGAGAGCCUUAGAACUGGGUAAAAUUCACCAUCCCACAAGCCCAGCCUUGGGAUUAGAACAGUCUGCACAUUUUCCUCUAACUGAAGCUCAAGAGGAGAGUUAACUCCUUUAGCUGACUGAUGGACAUACAGAUACAGCAAUAUAUGUAACGCUUAACUAGUAGUGAUACGGUAAUGAAGAAUAUCACAAACUCUGAGUAACAAUACUGAAUCAACAUCAGUUAGCCCAAUCUGCGUACAUUAUAAAUGAAAACAAGAGCACUGUUCUACAAUAACCUCAGCUUUAUGAAAAAACUAUAAGUCUUCUGAAAAUAUAAGCUGAUGCAUGACUCGUCCCAUGAACAAGACUGUACCUGCAUUGGGGUGGAAGUGAACAAAACAGGGUGUGAACAAAAAAGUGGGAUACUUACUUUCCUUCUUACUGACAAUUAGCAGUGUUCUAAAAAUAAAAAUGUAAAUAAUUCUUUUUAGAAAAUCA